RNAcentral lists this ribosomal RNA (321 nucleotides) under uncultured bacterium. RNAcentral describes it as "bacterial SSU rRNA". It matches the Rfam family "Bacterial small subunit ribosomal RNA", at positions 1190 to 1510 of the family's 1533-position model. The record is from RNAcentral.
UCAUCAAUGCCCUUAUGACUUGGCUACACACGUGCUACAAUGGCAGGUACAGAGGGCAGCUAGACAGUGAUGUUAAGCGAACCUCAAAAAGCCUGUCCCAGUUCGGAUUGCACUCUGCAACUCGAGUGCAUGAAGUUGGAGUUGCUAGUAAUCGCAGAUCAGAAUGCUGCGGUGAAUGCGUUCCCGGGUCUUGUACACACCGCCCGUCACACCAUGGAAGUUGGCAAUACCCGAAGCCUGUGAGCGAACCAUUUAGGACGCAGCAGUCGAAGGUAGGGUCAGUAACUUGGGUGAAGUCGUAACAAGGUAGCCGUAUCGGAA